Sparus aurata (gilthead seabream) is the source of this 3770-nucleotide long non-coding RNA. The record is from Ensembl. NCBI's taxonomy places the organism in Eukaryota, Metazoa, Chordata, Actinopteri, Spariformes, Sparidae.
GUGCUCCAAAUUAUGAUACAAUGGGAACCAAAAGGCCCAGCUGCACCCUCUUUGACACAUCUAACAUAAACACAUCUGACCGCAAACUUCAGCCAGGUGGAAAAAUCUCCCGGGAUCCAAGUCCACGGCCAGCCAUGACUGCCCAGUCGGAGCGAGAGAGAGACGCCAGGCGGGAGGAAGACCGGAGGAGGGAAAGAGAAGUUGAGAAAACGAGGGACAAAGCGAGAUACAGAGAUAUGGACCCACGGGAGAGAUACUACGAAAGGGACAGAGGUACUGCACCGCGGUCUAGAGAGGGAGAACGAGAUAUGAGGGUGAGAGAGAGGUGGCAAGAAGAUGACAGGAGCAAAAGCGGGAGGCCGCUGUCGAACAUAGAGAAGCUAGCCGAGAGAGAGGUGGAGAGGGGCAUGAAAAAAGGCGACACAUUUCCUAGAAUAAGGAAAAGCAGCCCAUAUCGGGACAGAACAAUGACGGCCACCACGGAGAUGGGUAAGGAGAGGAGGCAGAGAAGAGUAGAGACCGACGAAAGAGAGAGGGCACGGCAGAGAGAGUGGUUCAGAGAGAGGGAGAGAGAUGAGAUCCGAAGCAGGGCAGCAGAAGAGUGGAAAAGAAGACCUGCAGAGGAAGAGAAAUCACGACAGAGGGAAAGAUAUGAGGAGUAUGAUGUUAGCCGUCAAGACAGAAGAGAAGCGGUUGAUUCAUGGGACAGAAGAGAGAGGGAUGUGGAUAGAAAAAGGGAAAAACUGAGGCCUAACAUGGGGGAGAGGGAGGCCAGGGUGCAUUCUGCGCAAAGGAGAAGAGACAGAGAGAUCCACUCAGACAGGAGGGAGAGGGGCAAGAGGGACACCAGGAGUGAGGGAGACAGUGACGAGAGAGAGCUGAAGAGAGAGAGAGCGAGAGACAGAGAGAGGGAGGAGUUGACAUAUCAACACAGCAGAAGCGAGGGUGACAACGGGGGCAUAACAGAGAGGGAGAGAGAUCGAGAUAGGCGAGGAGACAGGGAAGAAGAUAGGCAGAGAUACAGAGACAAGGAUAGAGAAAGAGAGGCAGACCGAUCCAGGAGGAGGGGAGUCGAGAAAGAGGAGAGGUACAGGGAGGAGGAAAGGUGGAGGGAAAGUGUGAGAGAUGUGAAGGAUGACAGGAGAGAGGACGACAGAAACAGAGAGUACAAGCAGAAGAGAGGCAAGGACAGAGAUCCUAGGUGGGAUGAUUCAACAGGCAAAGGCAGCCGACCCCAGAGUGAGAUGGCCCCUAGGGUGCCUCCGCGAGCCCAAAGCAGCGGAGAGUGGAGCACCACUGAGAGUGACAGAGAUGUAGAAGAACAGAGAGCUGCUGAAAGAAGUUGUAGGGAGAAAAAGCGGGGUGAGAGACAAGAAAGAGACAGAGGAGAGAUGAGAGGUGGUGUGCCAGAGCAGAGGAAGAUGUGGUUAGAGCCACAGAGGGGCAGGAAUAGUAAAGACGAGUUUGUAGACAGAGAGAGACAGACGAGGGGCAAUGAGAGGAGGAGAGAAGAAGAGAGGAAUAUGGAGACAUGGGCUGAGCGGGGAAGGGAGGGGGGGAGAGUAAAAGAGGAACCAAAUGAGAGGUACGGAGGAAGGCAUGGAGGGAGAAGUGAGUGCAGGGGUGAUGUAGAGAGGGAGUCAGAGGGUGUGAGUGUAGAUGGAGAGGAGGUGGGUGGCGCCUGGAGAGAAGUAGAUAAAGGAGGGGAGGAACAGCUGUCUGACAACGAUGGAAGGAUAGAGGGAAACCGGCAGAGGGAUGUAGAGGGACAAAACCUGACAGAUAACACUGAGGAGAGUGACAGAGAGGAAGAGGGAGGGAGCGAUUACUGGGUCCGCUCUGAGAGCGAAGGAGGAAGUGAGAUGGGGUGGAAGCAAGACAGGGACAGAAUGCUGUCAGGAGAGGACGGCUUUGUAACCGUGUCCAGCGGCGGAGAUGAGGAAGACGAAAGAGAGGAGGAAGAAGAAGAAGAGUUUAAGGACUGUCAGGAGUUUUGGGAAGUUGCACAUGGUGACGUCCAGUGGCGGGAGGCAGAUGACAAGAGGGAAGAGGAACGGACAAUGGGAAAGGAGGAGACGGUUGAGGAUGACGAACAGGGGAGGGAAAAGAAGUACGUCUUCUGUGUGAUUGGGCAAACGUUGCCCCGGUCAAAGAAGUCACUGUCACAAGAUGAACAGACGAUGGGAGUGGAAAGAGACAACCCAAACUUAGAAAAUUAUGACGCCACACUGCAACCUCAGGAUAACCUGCAUCCAACACAAAGUAGAGAUGAUGAAUACCCAAUCAUCAACAACCAGGACGUAGAGAGCAGGAGUCAGAGUAGCAUGCCGAGAGAAGAAAGAGCAACUGAGGAGGAUAUUAGGAUGAGGCCUAAAAAGGAGCAUCCAUAUGCUGAAAUAGGACCGAUAAACAGAGACUCACAGACUGAAAGACUUCUCAUGGCAUGGAGAGAGAAAAGUAAAGAAGACGUGGAAAUUGAGCAGGAGCAACCUUCACCUUCACUACCGAGAAAUCCCUACGCUGAUGUUUUUUCUCAAGUGAAUUUUGAACAAAUUCAACCAAUCUUGGAUGGACUUAAAACUGCCGUGAUGAGCCCAGAGGAGGUGGAGGCCAUCCGGAUCCGACUGAGCGGGGCGUGGACCAUGUCCGAUGAGCCCAAGCGACAUUCCCAAGCCCCCCACCUUAAAUGGGCCAAAAAUGUGGUGCGGGAGAUCCUGGGACGUUCUGAGGAUAACACUGUGGAUGAAGCAAAUGAACAUGCAGACCAAGGGGUCAACCAGACAGCGAUGGAGUACGAAGAACAACAAGAGGUUGCACAAGAGCCUGGAGAGACGCCCGUUGUUAAGUUGAGAACAGACGAACAGCACUCAGAACCAGAGCUGGGGGAGGAGGAGCCGCUGGAGGAAGAGGGACUGAGAGGUAUGGGGCAGAGCCAAGCCGACAUGCAUGCUGACCAGUUCUCAGCUAUGCAUGGUGACACACCAACACACACUCAUGCUGACACAUUGUUAGACACAGAAGGGAAGGAGGAUCAGAGUAUGGACAAAGAGACUGAGCCCUCUGUUCACCUUCAGUUAGAAGAGGCGGAUACAGAGGUGAAAAUUAGUAAACAGGUCGAAUUAUCAGAAAGGGAAAAAGAAGCGCGAAAGAGGAGAGAGAAGGAAGUGGAGAUGUAUUUAUCCGUGAGCAACACGCUGUACAAGCCGAACAGCUGCCCCAUUCUUAAUUAUGAGCCUGAGUCUGCCUCCGGAGAUAGUGAGGGCCAGGAGGUGGAAGACAGAAUGGUUGAAAGUGAAGAAGAGAGGCAGGGAGAGGAACCUGAGGAGAGGGGUGUUUCAGAGGAUGGGGGAGAGAUGAAGGAGGGAGAGGGAACUGAGUUGGAUAGCAGAGAGGGAGAGGUGGCGGAAGAAAAUAAAGUAAAAGCGGGGACUCUGAUGAGCACCUGCAGUUUCCGAGAUUUGGGUCCUGAGGCUCGUAUACGAAGAAGGGGAAUCCGUAAAACAACUGAAAGAAGAAAUGGAGAGCAUGUAGAAGUGGAGGAAGCGGAAGGUGUUGGAAGGGAUCGCAGGACCAGAAUAUUCUCUACAACAGAUGAUGAAGAUGAUCGGAGCAAAAGUUGGGGAGAAGUAGAGCUGAGGAAUGUUUUGGAAACAAUCGACAGACGUAGAAGGAACUCAAGGUUCUUCAGUGAGUAUCUCUGUUUCAGUUUUGUUAUAAUUUUGUAUUCGUCAUUAGUUUUGAUUUCAUUUUUAAUUUUGUUUUCAGUUUAG